CUCAGAGAGAGGGGUAGAAGCUGGCGUUGUCCCCUGAGCCAGGGUCACUGCACUUGCCACUGCUCUGCUCCAAGAGGCUUUACCAGCUAACUUAGCCUCUGCAGUUUCUGAAAGCACAGUGUGGAGACAUUCGCAUAUAUUUUAGUCAUUAUUUCCACUCUCCGUUGAACCUUAGAAUAGGCUCUAAGUCAUCGUUCUUUCUCUCUCCUCACGUUUUGGUUUAUUUUUGGAAGUGAGAUCAAUGCAUUGCCCUUUGCUUUCUUUCAGGAACCUCUCUGCUGCUUUUCUAACCACACCCAGGGGUACAGCGCAUGGUUGGACCUUCAUGGAAUAUAUGACAGCCCCUUUCCGGUUCAGUUUCCUGAUCAGCAGAAUGAUAGCUAUGCUCCCACACUCUGCAGAUAUAUUGGAAUCCCGGGCCCUUCUGCUGGAUUCCACCGUCUUGAAACUUGAGUCAGGUAUAGACACUGUACCUGCCGACUGCUGUGGCAGAGCAGGUAACUGAGGUACAGAGUUUCUACAUGACAUGGUUCAUCUGGAAGUAGUAGUGGAUCCAUUUCACCUUACAUGCUGCUUGGGGCUGUGUCU
Molecule: long non-coding RNA, 588 nt
Filed under: Neogale vison (American mink)
Lineage: Eukaryota; Metazoa; Chordata; Mammalia; Carnivora; Mustelidae
Description: Neovison vison (American mink) lncRNA (ENSNVIG00000007047.1)
Source: RNAcentral